RNAcentral lists this ribosomal RNA (201 nucleotides) under uncultured bacterium. RNAcentral's name for it is "partial 16S ribosomal RNA". It matches the Rfam family "Bacterial small subunit ribosomal RNA", at positions 336 to 528 of the family's 1533-position model. The record is from RNAcentral.
CUCCUACGGGAGGCAGCAGUAGGGAAUCUUCGGCAAUGGGGGCAACCCUGACCGAGCAACGCCGCGUGAGUGAAGAAGGUUUUCGGAUCGUAAAGCUCUGUUGUAAGAGAAGAAUGUGUGUGAGAGUGGAAAGUUCACACAGUGACGGUAACUUACCAGAAAGGGACGGCUAACUACGUGCCAGCAGCCGCGGUAAUACGU